This 460-nucleotide ribosomal RNA is filed under the name uncultured bacterium. RNAcentral's name for it is "partial 16S ribosomal RNA". It matches the Rfam family "Bacterial small subunit ribosomal RNA", at positions 338 to 795 of the family's 1533-position model. The record is from RNAcentral.
CCUACGGGCGGCAGCAGUGAGGAAUAUUGGUCAAUGGACGAGGGUCUGAACCAGCCAAGUAGCGUGAAGGAUGACUGCCCUAUGGGUUGUAAACUUCUUUUAUAUGGGAAUAAAACGUUCCACGUGUGGGAUUUUGUAUGUACCAUAUGAAUAAGUAUCGGCUAACUCCGUGCCAGCAGCCGCGGUAAUACGGAGGAUCCGAGCGUUAUCCGGAUUUAUUGGGUUUAAGGGGAGCGUAGGUGGAUUGUUAAGUCAGUUGUGAAAGUUUGCGGCUCAACCGUAAAAUUGCAGUUGAAACUGGCAGUCUUGAGUACAGUAGAGGUGGGCGGAAUUCGUGGUGUAGCGGUGAAAUGCUUAGAUAUCACGAAGAACUCCGAUUGCGAAGGCAGUUCACUGGACUGCAACUGACACUGAGGCUCGAAAGUGUGGGUAUCAAACAUGAUUAGAUACCCGUGUAGUC